CGCAUCUGUGCAUGCAGCAUAUCAAUAAGCGGAGGAAAAGAAACUAACAAGGAUUCCCCUAGUAACGGCGAGUGAAGCGGGAAGAGCUCAAAUUUGAAAUCUUAAAGGGUUUCCCUUUACGAAUUGUAGUUUAAAGAAGUGUUUUCUGUUGAGGUUUUGGUAAAAGUUCUUUGGAAUAGGACAUCAUAGAGGGUGAGAAUCCCGUAUUUGACCUUUACUUUCAACUUUGUGAUACACUUUCAAAGAGUCGGAUUGUUUGGGAAUGCAGUCCAAAAUGGGUGGUUAAAUUUCAUCUAAAGCUAAAUAUUGGCGAGAGACCGAUAGCGAACAAGUACCGUGAGGGAAAGAUGAAAAGAACUUUGAAAAGAGAGUUAAACAGUACGUGAAAUUGUCAAAAGGGAAGCGUUUGACACCAGUGUUGUUUUUCUGAAAAUCAAUUAAAGAACUGUUUAUGCUAAGUUGUUUAGACUUUAUCAGCUAUCUGCUUAGUUUUGAGCUUUUCUUUAAUGCACUUUUCAGUUAACAAGUCAACAUCAAUUUCUUUUGCUGUAAAAAAGCUUGAGGAAGGUGGCUUGAGAUUCGUCUUAAGUGUUUAUAGCCUCUUGCCUAUGCAGUCGGAGAGAUUGAGGUCUGCAGCGUAGAUCCUUCGGGGCUAAAUGCAUUUGUGCUAAGUUAUAGCAUUUUAUAGACAACUUGUUGACUAUGAUUUGUCUUGUAGCUUACUCGCUUAUGUUAUUUUACCUACGCUUAGGAUGUUGAGUCGUAGAGCACGCAG
RNAcentral lists this ribosomal RNA (775 nucleotides) under uncultured Neocallimastigales. Its description in RNAcentral is "partial large subunit ribosomal RNA". It matches the Rfam family "Eukaryotic large subunit ribosomal RNA", at positions 26 to 628 of the family's 3401-position model. Lineage: Eukaryota; Fungi; Neocallimastigomycota; Neocallimastigomycetes; Neocallimastigales. The record is from RNAcentral.